CCUACGGGGUGCUGCAGUGGGGAAUAUUGGACAAUGGGCGAAAGCCUGAUCCAGCCAUGCCGCGUGUGUGAAGAAGGCCUUCGGGUUGUAAAGCACUUUCAGUGGGGAAGAAAGCCUUGGGGCUAAUACCCUCGAGGAAGGACAUCACCCACAGAAGAAGCACCGGCUAACUCCGUGCCAGCAGCCGCGGUAAUACGGAGGGUGCGAGCGUUAAUCGGAAUUACUGGGCGUAAAGCGCGCGUAGGCGGUCUGAUAAGCCGGUUGUGAAAGCCCCGGGCUCAACCUGGGAACGGCAUCCGGAACGGUCAGGCUAGAGUGCAGGAGAGGAAGGUAGAAUUCCCGGUGUAGCGGUGAAAUGCGUAGAGAUCGGGAGGAAUACCAGUGGCGAAGGCGGCCUUCUGGACUGACACUGACGCUGAGGUGCGAAAGCGUGGGUAGCAAACAGGAUUAGAUACCCUUGUAGUC
Molecule: ribosomal RNA, 465 nt
Filed under: Vreelandella stevensii
Lineage: Bacteria; Pseudomonadati; Pseudomonadota; Gammaproteobacteria; Oceanospirillales; Halomonadaceae
Description: partial 16S ribosomal RNA
Rfam family: Bacterial small subunit ribosomal RNA
Source: RNAcentral